AGGGGUUUAGGUUAAAUCAAGACCAAGAGCCUUCAAAGCUCUAAGUAAGCUGAAUUUCUUAACCUCUG
Molecule: transfer RNA, 68 nt
Filed under: Elephantulus brachyrhynchus (short-snouted elephant shrew)
Lineage: Eukaryota; Metazoa; Chordata; Mammalia; Macroscelidea; Macroscelididae
Description: tRNA-Trp
Source: RNAcentral